AUUGAACGCUGGCGGCAGGCCUAACACAUGCAAGUCGAGCGAGCGGCGGACGGGUGAGUAAUGUCUGGGAAACUGCCCGAUGGGGGGGGAUAACUAUUGGAAACGGUAGGUAAUACCGCAAAUCACUAGCUGUGCCCAGUUGGGAUUAGCUAGUUGGUGGGGUAACGGCUCAACUAGGCGACGAUCCCUAGCUGGUCUGAGAGGAUGACCAGCCACAAUGGAACUGAGACACGGUCCAGACUCCUACGGGAGGCAGCAGUGGGGAAUAUUGCGCAAUGGGCGAAAGCCUGAUGCAGCCAUGCCGCGUGUGUGAAGAAGGCCUUCGGAUUGUAAAGCACUUUCAGCGGGGAGGCGUUACCCGCAGAAGAAGCACCGGCUAACUCCGUGCCAGCAGCCGCGGUAAUAC
RNAcentral lists this ribosomal RNA (406 nucleotides) under uncultured bacterium. RNAcentral describes it as "partial 16S ribosomal RNA". It matches the Rfam family "Bacterial small subunit ribosomal RNA", at positions 30 to 526 of the family's 1533-position model. The record is from RNAcentral.